UGCGUAGGCGGGCUAAUAAGUCAGUGGUGAAAUCUUUCGGCUCAACCGAGAAACUGCCAUUGAUACUGUUAGUCUUGAGUUCGGUUGAGGUAGGCGGAAUGUAUAAUGUAGCGGUGAAAUGCUUAGAUAUUACACAGAACACCAAUUGCGUAGGCAGCUUACUAGACCGACACUGACGCUGAGGCACGAAAGCGUGGGGAGCGAACAGGAUUAGAUACCCUGGUAGUCC
Molecule: ribosomal RNA, 229 nt
Filed under: uncultured bacterium
Lineage: Bacteria
Description: partial 16S ribosomal RNA
Rfam family: Bacterial small subunit ribosomal RNA
Source: RNAcentral